This 410-nucleotide ribosomal RNA is filed under the name Verrucomicrobiota bacterium. Its description in RNAcentral is "Verrucomicrobia bacterium partial 16S ribosomal RNA". It matches the Rfam family "Bacterial small subunit ribosomal RNA", at positions 355 to 776 of the family's 1533-position model. Lineage: Bacteria; Pseudomonadati; Verrucomicrobiota. The record is from RNAcentral.
UGGGGAAUCUUGCACAAUGGGCGAAAGCCUGAUGCAGCGACGCCGCGUGCGGGAUGAAGGCCUUCGGGUUGUAAACCGCUUUCAGCAGGGACGAGGCCGCAAGGUGACGGUACCUGCAGAAGAAGCCCCGGCUAACUACGUGCCAGCAGCCGCGGUAAUACGUAGGGGGCAAGCGUUAUCCGGAUUCAUUGGGCGUAAAGCGCGCGUAGGCGGUCUGUUAGGUCAGGAGUCAAAUCUGGGGGAUCAACCCCUAUCCGCUCCUGAUACCGGCAGGAUGGAGUCUGGUAUGGGAAGGUGGAAUUCCAAGUGUAGCGGUGAAAUGCGCAGAUAUUUGGAAGAACACCAGUGGCGAAGGCGGCCUUCUGGGCCAUGACUGACGCUGAGGCGCGAAAGCUAGGGGAGCGAACAGG